Molecule: non-coding RNA, 189 nt
Organism: Euplotes aediculatus
Lineage: Eukaryota; Ciliophora; Spirotrichea; Euplotida; Euplotidae
Source: Rfam
AGUUUCUCGAUAAUUGAUCUGUAGAAUCUGUCAAGCAAAACCCCAAAACCUUACACUGAGAGCAUUUAGCCUGAUUACUCUUUAAAUCAAAUCAGGCAAUAGAGAGAAACUCGAGAGGUGAAAACCCCACAGCAUUCUGAAAUGUAUUUGGGAGUAAUCUCAUAUUAGUUUGCUGUCCUCUCAUCUUUU